AGACUGUAGCAUCACACUGAUACAUGGGGACAACACUAGGGUCACCUCUUGUUCGGCACGCUCCACGCGACGCUUGGCCUCGCGCUCCUCCUCUGCUGCUUGGGCCUCGUCCCUCCGCACGCGCGCGACGUUGUCCUUGUUGCGAACGUGCCAGCUCUUCUUCGGAAGGAUGUUCAUUGUUGCCUUGACGACUGUCGAUCCUUCACGUUGGCAGUCAGCUAACUGAGCGAGGGGCUAACGUGGACUGAGGUAAAGGUGACCUGACUCCACAGGGUGAUGAGGAGGACACCCAGACUCACCAGCCGAAGGGCCACAGCCCUACACACGAUGGAGAAAUGAGGAAUCUUAAUCAAGUUUCUUAAGCUGAUGUGCACAAACACAAAUUAUAGAGGAUUUUGUUUUCAGUAUAUUACGGACUUGAGUGUAAAUCAGUGUUGAAUGCUACUUCUAAUUCUACUUUUUACUGCUCUAUACUUGAAACCCCACUCCUUUAGUUAAAUAGAUGAUCAAAUUAACAUUGUACUUUUAUAACAGAUUAGUUUUGGGCUUUAAAAAAAAAACAGCUUAUAAAAACAGACAAAAUGUGUAUCCCUUUGUCCCAAGGCUAACAUGUUUAUGAGUUGUCACCAGAAACCAGUCCAAACCUGAAUAGUGCCAGUAUGACAGUGGUGCUGGGAGAAUAUUUCUCCGCUAAGGCGAUCCGGUCAUCCACCAGUGGUACCAGGAAGUUUCCGGCAGUGAUGACAAUGGAGGGGAGAUACUCAAUAAUCAAACCCAGGAUCCCGUCCCUCCCACUUUCAGCCUGAUUUUCAAGAGAUGGAAGUCAAAGUAUCACCCAAAACAUUAAAACAUCACAAGGUU
Long non-coding RNA from Notolabrus celidotus (New Zealand spotty), 861 nucleotides. RefSeq lists it as uncharacterized. The transcript is spliced from 2 exons. Lineage: Eukaryota; Metazoa; Chordata; Actinopteri; Labriformes; Labridae. The record is from RefSeq and is a predicted model, not a curated record.